This is a long non-coding RNA of Papaver somniferum (opium poppy), 212 nucleotides long. RefSeq lists it as uncharacterized. Lineage: Eukaryota; Viridiplantae; Streptophyta; Magnoliopsida; Ranunculales; Papaveraceae. The transcript is spliced from 3 exons. The record is from RefSeq and is a predicted model, not a curated record.
ACUCCACCUGCUCCUUAUGUUAUUGUUGUUCAUGGACCUCCCAAGGUUGGGAAAUCCUUGUUGAUCAAAUCUCUAGUAAAGCAUUAUACCAACCAUAAUCUUACCGAUGACACCACCCCAGGCCCCAUUACGAUCGUCGUCGGCUCAGGCGAAGAACAAAGACGGAUACAGUUUGUGGAGUGUCCUAACAAUGUCAAUGGCAUGAUUGAUGC